CACCAAUGCAGAAGAAGAUUUUGUUAUUCCUGGAGUAAUCAGCAGUGUUGGCAUGCUAACAAUGCCUAAAAGCCUUCCUGAGUAACUGUACGAGAUUGCAUCUCCACUUGUUCAUCAGACCUCAAAGUUGCCAAGGGAUUCUUGGAUAUAACUUGAUGAGCACUCAAGAAACACCUAAAAUAUCAUUUUACAAUGGCUUCGAAUUGAGGAUUCACUGGAAGGAAAAGGAGAAAAGCAGAACUUGAUGAUUUUAGUGAGACUGUGCUUGGUGAGAUGCAGGCUGAUGGUUUGUGUUCUGGUCCUGUGCCAGGAGCAAGGCAAGCAUGCAUUCAAUGACAGUCAGCUUCACUGA
Molecule: long non-coding RNA, 352 nt
Filed under: Anser cygnoides (Swan goose)
Lineage: Eukaryota; Metazoa; Chordata; Aves; Anseriformes; Anatidae
Description: lncRNA (ENSACDG00005005270.1)
Source: RNAcentral